AUCGCUAUUAGAUGAGCCUAUGUUAGAUUAGCUAGUUGGUAAGGUAAUAGCUUACCAAGGCUAUGAUCUAUAGCUGGUCUGAGAGGACGAUCAGCCACACUGGAACUGAGAUACGGUCCAGACUCCUACGGGAGGCAGCAGUGGGGAAUAUUGGACAAUGGGCGCAAGCCUGAUCCAGCUAUGCCGCAUGAGUGAAGAAGGCCUUAGGGUUGUAAAGCUCUUUCAGUAGGGAAGA
This 235-nucleotide ribosomal RNA is filed under the name Neoehrlichia mikurensis. RNAcentral describes it as "Candidatus Neoehrlichia mikurensis partial 16S ribosomal RNA". It matches the Rfam family "Bacterial small subunit ribosomal RNA", at positions 214 to 448 of the family's 1533-position model. The record is from RNAcentral. Lineage: Bacteria; Pseudomonadati; Pseudomonadota; Alphaproteobacteria; Rickettsiales; Anaplasmataceae.